UGGGGAAUAUUGGACAAUGGGCGAAAGCCUGAUCCAGCCAUGCCGCGUGUGUGAAGAAGGUCUUCGGAUUGUAAAGCACUUUAAGUUGGGAGGAAGGGCAUUAACCUAAUACGUUAGUGUUUUGACGUUACCGACAGAAUAAGCACCGGCUAACUCUGUGCCAGCAGCCGCGGUAAUACAGCGGGUGCAAACGUUAAUCGGAAUUACUGGGCGUAAAGCGCGCGUAGGUGGUUUGUUAAGUUGGAUGUGAAAUCCCCGGGCUCAACCUGGGAACUGCAUUCAAAACUGACUGACUAGAGUAUGGUAGAGGGUGGUGGAAUUUCCUGUGUAGCGGUGAAAUGCGUAGAUAUAGGAAGGAACACCAGUGGCGAAGGCGACCACCUGGACUAAUACUGACACUGAGGUGCGAAAGCGUGGGGAGCAAACA
Molecule: ribosomal RNA, 427 nt
Filed under: uncultured bacterium
Lineage: Bacteria
Description: partial 16S ribosomal RNA
Rfam family: Bacterial small subunit ribosomal RNA
Source: RNAcentral